AUUCUGCCCGUGCAGGGAAGGAUGAGAAGCUUCGACCAGGUUCGAUUCGAGCGCAGCGAGAAAGCGUU
RNAcentral lists this small RNA (68 nucleotides) under Klebsiella ornithinolytica. RNAcentral's name for it is "Raoultella ornithinolytica partial RtT sRNA". It matches the Rfam family "RtT RNA", at positions 1 to 69 of the family's 130-position model. Rfam says of the family: This family represents a bacterial cis-regulatory element known as RtT RNA. The exact function of RtT is unknown although it is thought that it may be involved in changing the cellular response in relation to amino acid starvation. The record is from RNAcentral. Lineage: Bacteria; Pseudomonadati; Pseudomonadota; Gammaproteobacteria; Enterobacterales; Enterobacteriaceae.